AGAGUUUGAUCAUGGCUCAGGAUGAACGCUAGCGGCAGGCCUAAUACAUGCAAGCCGAACGGCAAGUUGAGUAGCAAUACUUGACCUAGAGUGGCGUAAGGGUGCGUAACACGUAUGCAAUCUGCCCGCAACAGGAGGAUAGCUCCCCGAAAGGGGAAUUAAUACUCCAUGAGAUCACACGAGGGCAUCUGAGGGUGAUUAAACUACAAGGGGUUGCGGAUGAGCAUGCGGUUGAUUAGCUAGUUGGCGGGGUAACGGCCCACCAAGGCGAUGAUCAAUAGGGGAACUGAGAGGUUUAUCCCCCACACUGGCACUGAGAUACGGGCCAGACUCCUACGGGAGGCAGCAGUAGGGAAUAUUGGACAAUGGGCGAGAGCCUGAUCCAGCCAUGCCGCGUGCAGGAAGAAGGCCUUCUGGGUUGUAAACUGCUUUUGCCAGGGGAUAAAAAGUCCCUGCGGGGAAAAUUGAAGGUACCUGGUGAAUAAGCCACGGCUAACUACGUGCCAGCAGCCGCGGUAAUACGUAGGUGGCAAGCGUUGUCCGGAUUUAUUGGGUUUAAAGGGUGCGUAGGCGGUUCUAUAAGUCAGUGGUGAAAUACGGCAGCUCAACUGUCGAGGUGCCAUUGAUACUGUAGAACUUGAGUACAGACGAGGUAGGCGGAAUUGACGGUGUAGCGGUGAAAUGCUUAGAUAUCGUCAAGAACACCGAUAGCGAAGGCAGCUUACUAGGCUGUAACUGACGCUGAGGCACGAAAGUGUGGGGAUCAAACAGGAUUAGAUACCCUAGUAGUCC
Molecule: ribosomal RNA, 792 nt
Filed under: uncultured bacterium
Lineage: Bacteria
Description: bacterial SSU rRNA
Rfam family: Bacterial small subunit ribosomal RNA
Source: RNAcentral